RNAcentral lists this ribosomal RNA (288 nucleotides) under uncultured Nocardioides sp. Its description in RNAcentral is "partial 16S ribosomal RNA". It matches the Rfam family "Bacterial small subunit ribosomal RNA", at positions 223 to 523 of the family's 1533-position model. Lineage: Bacteria; Bacillati; Actinomycetota; Actinomycetes; Propionibacteriales; Nocardioidaceae. The record is from RNAcentral.
GGAUGAGCCCGCGGCCUAUCAGCUUGUUGGUGAGGUAAUGGCUCACCAAGGCUUCGACGGGUAGCCGGCCUGAGAGGGUGACCGGCCACACUGGGACUGAGACACGGCCCAGACUCCUACGGGAGGCAGCAGUGGGGAAUAUUGGACAAUGGGCGGAAGCCUGAUCCAGCAACGCCGCGUGAGGGAUGACGGCCUUCGGGUUGUAAACCUCUUUCAGCACAGACGAAGCGAAAGUGACGGUAUGUGCAGAAGAAGGACCGGCCAACUACGUGACAGCAGCCGCGGCCG